GACGAACGCUGGCGGCGUGCUUAACACAUGCAAGUCGAACGGAAAGGCCCUGCUUUUGUGGGGUGCUCGAGUGGCGAACGGGUGAGUAACACGUGAGUAACCUGCCCUUGACUUUGGGAUAACUUCAGGAAACUGGGGCUAAUACCGGAUAGGAGCUCCUGCUGCAUGGUGGGGGUUGGAAAGUUUCGGCGGUUGGGGAUGGACUCGCGGCUUAUCAGCUUGUUGGUGGGGUAGUGGCUUACCAAGGCUUUGACGGGUAGCCGGCCUGAGAGGGUGACCGGCCACAUUGGGACUGAGAUACGGCCCAGACUCCUACGGGAGGCAGCAGUGGGGAAUAUUGCACAAUGGGCGGAAGCCUGAUGCAGCAACGCCGCGUGCGGGAUGACGGCCUUCGGGUUGUAAACCACUUUCGCCUGUGACGAAGCGUGAGUGACGGUAAUGGGUAAAGAAGCACCGGCUAACUACGUG
RNAcentral lists this ribosomal RNA (468 nucleotides) under uncultured bacterium. RNAcentral's name for it is "partial 16S ribosomal RNA". It matches the Rfam family "Bacterial small subunit ribosomal RNA", at positions 28 to 507 of the family's 1533-position model. The record is from RNAcentral.